This 450-nucleotide ribosomal RNA is filed under the name uncultured bacterium. RNAcentral describes it as "partial 16S ribosomal RNA". It matches the Rfam family "Bacterial small subunit ribosomal RNA", at positions 29 to 523 of the family's 1533-position model. The record is from RNAcentral.
AGCGAACGCUGGCGGCAGGCUUAACACAUGCAAGUCGAGCGGGCGUAGCAAUACGUCAGCGGCAGACGGGUGAGUAACGCGUGGGAACGUACCUUUUGGUUCGGAACAACACAGGGAAACUUGUGCUAAUACCGGAUAAGCCCUUACGGGGAAAGAUUUAUCGCCGAAAGAUCGGCCCGCGCCUGAUUAGCUAGUUGGUGAGGUAACGGCUCACCAAGGCGACGAUCAGUAGCUGGUCUGGGAGGAUGAUCAGCCACAUUGGGACUGAGACACGGCCCAACUCCUACGGGAGGCAGCAGUGGGGAAUAUUGGACAAUGGGCGCAAGCCUGCUCCAGCCAUGCCGCGUGAGUGAUGAAGGCCCUAGGGUUGUAAAGCUCUUUUGUGCGGGAAGAUAAUGACGGUACCGCAAGAAUAAGCCCCGGCUAACUUCGUGCCAGCAGCCGCCGUAA